Non-coding RNA from Triticum urartu, 133 nucleotides. The record is from Rfam. NCBI's taxonomy places the organism in Eukaryota, Viridiplantae, Streptophyta, Magnoliopsida, Poales, Poaceae.
CAGAUACUCCCUCCGUCCAGAUACUUGUCAUCAAAAUGAAUAAAAGGGGAUGUAUUUAGAUGUAUUUUAGUUCUAGAUACACCCCUUUUUGUCCAUUUUGAUGACAAGUAUUUUCGGACGGAGGGAGUAAUAC